RNAcentral lists this long non-coding RNA (683 nucleotides) under Chinchilla lanigera (long-tailed chinchilla). Its description in RNAcentral is "lncRNA (ENSCLAG00000023524.1)". The record is from RNAcentral. Lineage: Eukaryota; Metazoa; Chordata; Mammalia; Rodentia; Chinchillidae.
AAGUAUAACAUCAUAUUUCUGAUGGCAUCAAUUUUUUUGCCUUUUUGUCUCAAUGAUAAUAGGCUGUGGCUCUACAUCCAAAAUAGCUAAACAAGAAGCUUCAGGUUCCCUUCUUCCACAUGUCUCCAUUUGUACAUGAACACACUUAGAAAGAAAGUUAUUUAUCCAUGAUCAAAGGUAAGAAAUGACAGCCAGAUCUAGAACCCUGGUCCCCACUUCUGUCCUAUCAUUCUUUCCACCUCAUCACAUUGCCCCCCAAUGUUUCUGAACUUUAGACAUAGUAAUCCAUUUAUGUUACCAAAACUUCUUUCUCAUUUCAGGAUCUCAUCUCCUGCUGGUACACUCACAGAAAAGAAUAUUUACUGAGAGUAUCUUUGUCUUUAAAACCAAGGACAAAGUGCUUCAAACAGCUAACCCUGAAGCAAGUCAUGCCCAAGAUGUGCGUUCCCUGCACCACUGCCUUGAGCCACUCCAAAUGCCACAUGUCCUCCUUGCCCAUCUAAUUUUCCACGUAAAUAUCAUCAGCCACCAUCAGGCACACUGAGUGAGAGCUUGAGACAACAGUGAGGGUCAUGAAAACAAGGCCUGAAGGUGAGGGACAGCUUCAAUCUCAAGUCAUGAUGAAGCAAAUAUCAUUAUUGAGAAGUUUUAAAUAAAGAUAUGCUUCAACAAGAAUUAUCCUG